GGCAUAGUGUGGGGACCUUCCACGUUUCCGCGCCGCAGUAACGCUUAAGUGCCCCGCUGGGGAGUACGGCCGCAAGGUAAAACUCAAAGGAAUUGACGGGGGCCCGCACAAGCGGCGGAGCUGCGGAUUAAUUCGAUGCAACGCGAAGAACCUUACCAAGGCUUGACAUGUUCUCGAUCGCCGUAGAGAUACGGUUUCCCCUUUGGGGCGGGUUCACAGGUGGUGCAUGGUUGUCGUCAGCUCGUGUCGUGAGAUGUUGGGUUAAGUCCCGCAACGAGCGCAACCCUCGUUCCAUGUUGCCAGCACGUAGUGGUGGGGACUCAUGGGAGACUGCCGGGGUCAACUCGGAGGAAGGUGAGGACGACGUCAAAUCAUCAUGCCCCUUAUGUCUUGGGCUUCACGCAUGCUACAAUGGCCGGUACAAUGGGUUGCGAUACUGUGAGGUGGAGCUAAUCCCAAAAAGCCGGUCUCAGUUCGGAUUGGGGUCUGCAACUCGACCCCAUGAAGUGGAGUCGCUAGUAAUCGCAGAUCAGCAACGCUGCGGUGAAUACGUUCCCGGGCCUUGUACACACCGCCCGUCAAGUCACGAAAGUUGGUAACACCCGAAGCCGGUGGCCUAACCCUUGUGGGGGGAGCCGUCGAAGGUGGGACCAGCGAUUGGGACUC
RNAcentral lists this ribosomal RNA (666 nucleotides) under Micrococcus sp. NASA2-20. RNAcentral describes it as "bacterial SSU rRNA". It matches the Rfam family "Bacterial small subunit ribosomal RNA", at positions 812 to 1483 of the family's 1533-position model. Lineage: Bacteria; Bacillati; Actinomycetota; Actinomycetes; Micrococcales; Micrococcaceae. The record is from RNAcentral.